AAAUGCGAUAAGUAGUGUGAAUUGCAGAAUUCAGUGAAUCAUCGAAUCUUUGAACGCACAUUGCGCCCCUUGGUAUUCCAUGGGGCAUGCCUGUUCGAGCGUCAUCUACACCCUCAAGCUCUGCUUGGUGUUGGGCGUCUUUGUCCCGCCUCCGCGCGCGGACUCGCCCCAAAUUCAUUGGCAGCGGUCCUUGCCUCCUCUCGCGCAGCACAUUGCGCUUCUCGAGGUGUUGUGGCCCGCGUCCAGAAAGCAAUCGUUACCGUCUUUGACCUCGGAUCAGGUAGGGAUACCCGCUGAACUUAAGC
Molecule: unclassified non-coding RNA, 305 nt
Filed under: plant metagenome
Description: partial contains 5.8S ribosomal RNA, internal transcribed spacer 2, and large subunit ribosomal RNA
Rfam family: 5.8S ribosomal RNA (bases 1-104)
Source: RNAcentral